This 1361-nucleotide ribosomal RNA is filed under the name Enterococcus faecium. RNAcentral describes it as "bacterial SSU rRNA". It matches the Rfam family "Bacterial small subunit ribosomal RNA". The record is from RNAcentral. Lineage: Bacteria; Bacillati; Bacillota; Bacilli; Lactobacillales; Enterococcaceae.
GCUAUAUGCAGUCGACGCUUCUUUUUCCACCGGAGCUUGCUCCACCGGAAAAAGAGGAGUGGCGAACGGGUGAGUAACACGUGGGUAACCUGCCCAUCAGAAGGGGAUAACACUUGGAAACAGGUGCUAAUACCGUAUAACAAUCAAAACCGCAUGGUUUUGAUUUGAAAGGCGCUUUCGGGUGUCGCUGAUGGAUGGACCCGCGGUGCAUUAGCUAGUUGGUGAGGUAACGGCUCACCAAGGCCACGAUGCAUAGCCGACCUGAGAGGGUGAUCGGCCACAUUGGGACUGAGACACGGCCCAAACUCCUACGGGAGGCAGCAGUAGGGAAUCUUCGGCAAUGGACGAAAGUCUGACCGAGCAACGCCGCGUGAGUGAAGAAGGUUUUCGGAUCGUAAAACUCUGUUGUUAGAGAAGAACAAGGAUGAGAGUAACUGUUCAUCCCUUGACGGUAUCUAACCAGAAAGCCACGGCUAACUACGUGCCAGCAGCCGCGGUAAUACGUAGGUGGCAAGCGUUGUCCGGAUUUAUUGGGCGUAAAGCGAGCGCAGGCGGUUUCUUAAGUCUGAUGUGAAAGCCCCCGGCUCAACCGGGGAGGGUCAUUGGAAACUGGGAGACUUGAGUGCAGAAGAGGAGAGUGGAAUUCCAUGUGUAGCGGUGAAAUGCGUAGAUAUAUGGAGGAACACCAGUGGCGAAGGCGGCUCUCUGGUCUGUAACUGACGCUGAGGCUCGAAAGCGUGGGGAGCAAACAGGAUUAGAUACCCUGGUAGUCCACGCCGUAAACGAUGAGUGCUAAGUGUUGGAGGGUUUCCGCCCUUCAGUGCUGCAGCUAACGCAUUAAGCACUCCGCCUGGGGAGUACGACCGCAAGGUUGAAACUCAAAGGAAUUGACGGGGGCCCGCACAAGCGGUGGAGCAUGUGGUUUAAUUCAAAGCAACGCGAAGAACCUUACCAGGUCUUGACAUCCUUUGACCACUCUAGAGAUAGAGCUUCCCCUUCGGGGGCAAAGUGACAGGUGGUGCAUGGUUGUCGUCAGCUCGGGUCAGGAGAUGUUGGGUUAAGUCCCGCAACGAGCGCAACCCUUAUUGUUAGUUGCCAUCAUUCAGUUGGGCACUCUAACAAGACUGCCGGUGAAACCGGAAGGAAGGUGGGGAUGACGUCAAUCAUCUGCCCCUUUACCUGGGCUACCGUGCUACAAUGGGAAGUACACCGAGUUCGAAAUCCCGAGCUAAGCUAAUUCCUUAAGUCUCAUUUCGAAUGGAGGUCCAACUCCCUGCUAAACCGGAAUCCUUAACCGGUACCCCCCGGGGAAAAUUUCCCCGGGCCUUAACCAAGUUUAGGGGGGAUAAAAAAUGGUUAAU